RNAcentral lists this ribosomal RNA (320 nucleotides) under uncultured bacterium. RNAcentral describes it as "bacterial SSU rRNA". It matches the Rfam family "Bacterial small subunit ribosomal RNA", at positions 189 to 507 of the family's 1533-position model. The record is from RNAcentral.
AUCCUUAGUAGUUGAAAGUUACCGGCGGUUAGAGAUGGCAUGCGUUGUAUUAGCUAGAUGGUGGGGUAAGUGGCUCACCAUGGCGACGAGUACAUAGGGGGACUGAGAGGUUAACCCCCCACACUGGUACUGAGACACGGACCAGACUCCUACGGGAGGCAGCAGUGAGGAAUAUUGGUCAAUGGACGCAAGUCUGAACCAGCCAUGCCGCGUGCAGGAAGACGGCUCUAUGAGUUGUAAACUGCUUUUGUACAAGGGUAAACCUCGGUACGUGUACCGAGCUGAAAGUACUGUACGAAUAAGGAUCGGCUAACUCCGUG